GGGGGGUUCCUUAAACCAUCCAAGUGAAGCGGCCAAUUGGAACCUUGUUCCUUAAUGUAACGGGGGGAGGGUUAAGUACCAGGUGGUUACCCGCCCGGUAAGAUUGGAAUAAUCCCGGGAACCCGGGGUUAAAACGGAAUCCUUAAUUAACCGCCAGGGUUCAUUAAUAAAAGGUGGUUUUAGCUACCACUUACAGAUGGACCCGCGGCGCAUUAGCUAGUUGGUGAGGUAACGGCUCACCAAGGCAACGAUGCGUAGCCGACCUGAGAGGGUGAUCGGCCACACUGGGACUGAGACACGGCCCAGACUCCUACGGGAGGCAGCAGUAGGGAAUCUUCCGCAAUGGACGAAAGUCUGACGGAGCAACGCCGCGUGAGUGAUGAAGGUUUUCGGAUCGUAAAACUCUGUUGUUAGGGAAGAACAAGUACCGUUCGAAUAGGGCGGUACCUUGACGGUACCUAACCAGAAAGCC
RNAcentral lists this ribosomal RNA (472 nucleotides) under Bacillus aerius. RNAcentral's name for it is "bacterial SSU rRNA". It matches the Rfam family "Bacterial small subunit ribosomal RNA", at positions 39 to 492 of the family's 1533-position model. Lineage: Bacteria; Bacillati; Bacillota; Bacilli; Caryophanales; Bacillaceae. The record is from RNAcentral.